RNAcentral lists this ribosomal RNA (471 nucleotides) under uncultured Rhodoferax sp. RNAcentral describes it as "bacterial SSU rRNA". It matches the Rfam family "Bacterial small subunit ribosomal RNA", at positions 910 to 1382 of the family's 1533-position model. The record is from RNAcentral. Lineage: Bacteria; Pseudomonadati; Pseudomonadota; Betaproteobacteria; Burkholderiales; Comamonadaceae.
UUGACGGGACCCGCACAAGCGGUGGAUGAUGUGGUUUAAUUCGAUGCAACGCGAAAAACCUUACCCACCUUUGACAUGUACGGAACCCUUUAGAGAUAGAGGGGUGCUCGAAAGAGAGCCGUAACACAGGUGCUGCAUGGCUGUCGUCAGCUCGUGUCGUGAGAUGUUGGGUUAAGUCCCGCAACGAGCGCAACCCUUGUCAUUAGUUGCUACAUUCAGUUGGGCACUCUAAUGAGACUGCCGGUGACAAGCCGGAGGAAGGUGGGGAUGACGUCAAGUCCUCAUGGCCCUUAUAGGUGGGGCUACACACGUCAUACAAUGGCUGGUACAAAGGGUUGCCAACCCGCGAGGGGGAGCCAAUCCCAUAAAGCCAGUCGUAGUCCGGAUCGUAGUCUGCAACUCGACUACGUGAAGUCGGAAUCGCUAGUAAUCGUGGAUCAGAAUGUCACGGUGAAUACGUUCCCGGGUCUU